Molecule: ribosomal RNA, 397 nt
Filed under: uncultured bacterium
Lineage: Bacteria
Description: partial 16S ribosomal RNA
Rfam family: Bacterial small subunit ribosomal RNA
Source: RNAcentral
AUACGUAGGGGGCGAGCGUUGUCCGGAAUGAUUGGGCGUAAAGGGCGCGUAGGCGGCCCGGUAAGUCUGGAGUGAAAGUCCUGUUUUUAAGAUGGGAAUUGCUUUGGAUACUGUCGGGCUUGAGUGCAGGAGAGGUAAGUGGAAUUCCCAGUGUAGCGGUGAAAUGCGUAGAGAUUGGGAGGAACACCAGUGGCGAAGGCGACUUACUGGACUGUAACUGACGCUGAGGCGCGAAAGUGUGGGGAGCAAACAGGAUUAGAUACCCUGGUAGUCCACACUAUAAACGAUGAAUGCUAGGUGUAGGGGGUAUCGACCCCUUCUGUGCCGCAGUCAACACAAUAAGCAUUCCGCCUGGGGAGUACGGCCGCAAGGUUGAAACUCAAAUGAAUUGACGGGG